CCCUUAGAUGUUCUGGGCCGCACACGCGCUACACUGAAGGAGGCAGCGUGUACUCCUGGAUCGAAAGAUUUGGGUAACCCGCGAAUCUCCUUCGUGCUAGGGAUUGAGGUUUGCAAUUAUCCUUCAUGAACGAGGAAUUCCCAGUAAGUGCAAGUCAUAAGCUUGCGCUGACUACGUCCCUGCCCUUUGUACACACCGCCCGUCGCUACUACCGAUUGAAUGAUUUAGUGAGGACUUCGGACUGGGACCGAUGCGGCUUUCGGGCUGCGUCGGUAUUCAGGAAAGAUGUCCAAACUGUAUCAUUUAGAGGAAGUAAAAGUCGUAACA
This 327-nucleotide ribosomal RNA is filed under the name uncultured eukaryote. RNAcentral describes it as "partial 18S ribosomal RNA". It matches the Rfam family "Eukaryotic small subunit ribosomal RNA", at positions 1470 to 1796 of the family's 1831-position model. The record is from RNAcentral.